This 82-nucleotide transfer RNA is filed under the name Echinostoma caproni. It matches the Rfam family "tRNA". Rfam says of the family: Transfer RNA (tRNA) molecules are approximately 80 nucleotides in length. Their secondary structure includes four short double-helical elements and three loops (D, anti-codon, and T loops). Further hydrogen bonds mediate the characteristic L-shaped molecular structure. tRNAs have two regions of fundamental functional importance: the anti-codon, which is responsible for specific mRNA codon recognition, and the 3' end, to which the tRNAs corresponding amino acid is attached (by aminoacyl-tRNA synthetases). tRNAs cope with the degeneracy of the genetic code in two manners: having more than one tRNA (with a specific anti-codon) for a particular amino acid; and 'wobble' base-pairing, i.e. permitting non-standard base-pairing at the 3rd anti-codon position. Lineage: Eukaryota; Metazoa; Platyhelminthes; Trematoda; Plagiorchiida; Echinostomatidae. The record is from Rfam by way of RNAcentral.
GGCCUCGUAGCUUAGCUGGUAGAGCAUGUACGCAUAAUGCGUAGGCGGCGUCCAUGCGUGGGUUCAAAUCCCACCGAGGCUA